This 282-nucleotide unclassified non-coding RNA is filed under the name uncultured Orbiliaceae. RNAcentral describes it as "sequence contains ITS2". The stretch from base 1 to 53 matches the Rfam family "5.8S ribosomal RNA", at positions 102 to 154 of the family's 154-position model. The record is from RNAcentral. Lineage: Eukaryota; Fungi; Ascomycota; Orbiliomycetes; Orbiliales.
GAACGCACAUUGCGCCCAUUGGUAUUCCAUUGGGCAUGUCUGUUUGAGCGUCAUGUCAACCCUCGGCUCGCGCCGGUUCUGGACCUGCGGUGCUGACCGGGAAUCUCGGUCAGCCCGCCGGUUUUAAAGUUGCACGCUCCGCUGGCCGCCCAGCUCAACCGGAACAUAGUAAGCACUUACUCCUGUUCGCGGUCGGGUCAUGGCGCGCUCGGCCUGAACAAAACCUACCCAUCUUCAAAGGUUUGACCUCAGAUCAGACAAGGAUACCCGCUGAACUUAAGC